RNAcentral lists this long non-coding RNA (1051 nucleotides) under Anser cygnoides (Swan goose). RNAcentral describes it as "lncRNA (ENSACDG00005010883.1)". Lineage: Eukaryota; Metazoa; Chordata; Aves; Anseriformes; Anatidae. The record is from RNAcentral.
AUGACAGCCACCCACCACACUAAGGCACAGGAUUUAAAGAGGAUUUAUUCCUGGGCUCCUUCUGGAGGAGAGGUGAGCAGAGCCAUGCUCUCCACCAGCCCUGCUGCUGUUUGCCAGAGCCACCCUCACAGUGAUGCUGCUUCUAGAGAGGUUUGCUGUCAUCGGCUAGCCACCAACUUUUCCACAUCCCUCUACUGGGCAGGUGUAGCUGUGAUACUGAAAGAAUGACUGAACACUUGUCCCUGUAUCAAGUCACACCCUACUUUGGUGAUACAAUAGCAGGCACUGGCAAAUUUGAAAAGAACAGGACACAGUACAGCACACCAAGACCUCUGCAUGGCACUGCAGUUGCUCUCUGAUUUGGGGGAAGCUACAGAGAAGCUAUAGCACUGUACAAAAGAAUCAGUAUAAGAUAGGAAAACAAACCACUGCAGACUUAUUGAGUCUUAAAUGUCUUUAUCUUAAACAUCUCAGGAUCCUAGGAGCUUUUGAAAGCACUCAUAGUGAUUCAAAUUGUUGCUACUGUUAGCUUUACUGUUAUAUAGAGUCUUAUUUUAUCAAGGCAGAAAUGUGCUCAUCGUUCAUGCAGUGUUAUAAUAUGCAGUUAUAGGGAAAAAAAAACAAAACCUAAACCUCAAAUGCCUAUGACAGUGUAAACAUUGAUAAGAGCCAAAUAGAAAAUGGCAGUGUAACUUGAAUAUUUUCUAUAACUUCUAAUGAAAUACAAAUUUUGAGAUCCUCUAUUUUUGUAUUUUUUGGAGUUCCAAUCAAUUUCACUGGAUUUAUGCAAAUCUAUACCGUCUGAUAAUCUGGCCUGUGCUUUAUGAGUUGCAAUGAAUUCAGAGGGUGUGACAUACAAGAAGAGGUUAUUAUUUUUUUUAUAUAUAUAUAUUUUUUUUUUUUCAGAGAGAUUUUUGACAUAUAUAUUCAGAUAAUCUUGUAUAAGCACUUCCAGUGUUUUCAGUGGAAUGCCUGGAAAUGAAGCUUUACCUCAUGAAUGUGAAUGUGGUCUUCAUUUCAUGAAGAAUAAAAUUCUGUUGAUACGAUGACA